UAGGGAAUCUUCGGCAAUGGACGAAAGUCUGACCGAGCAACGCCGCGUGAGUGAAGAAGGUUUUCGGAUCGUAAAACUCUGUUGUUAGAGAAGAACAAGGACGUUAGUAACUGAACGUCCCCUGACGGUAUCUAACCAGAAAGCCACGGCUAACUACGUGCCAGCAGCCGCGGUAAUACGUAGGUGGCAAGCGUUGUCCGGAUUUAUUGGGCGUAAAGCGAGCGCAGGCGGUUUCUUAAGUCUGAUGUGAAAGCCCCCGGCUCAACCGGGGAGGGUCAUUGGAAACGGGGAGACUUGAGUGCAGAAGAGGAGAGUGGAAUUCCAGGUGUAGCGGUGAAAUGCGUAGAUAUAUGGAGGAACACCAGUGGCGAAGGCGGCUCUCUGGUCUGUAACUGACGCUGAGGCUCGAAAGCGUGGGGAGCAAACAGG
Molecule: ribosomal RNA, 429 nt
Filed under: Gemmatimonadota bacterium
Lineage: Bacteria; Pseudomonadati; Gemmatimonadota
Description: Gemmatimonadetes bacterium partial 16S ribosomal RNA
Rfam family: Bacterial small subunit ribosomal RNA
Source: RNAcentral